CUACGGGAGGCUGCAGUCGAGAAUUUUUCACAAUGGGGGAAACCCUGAUGGAGCGACGCCGCGUGGAGGAUGACGGUUUUCGGAUUGUAAACUCCUGUCAUUAGAGAACAAGGCACACGGUUUAACUGGCCGUGUGUUGAUAGUAUCUGAAGAGGAAGAGACGGCUAACUCUGUGCCAGCAGCCGCGGUAAUACAGAGGUCUCAAGCGUUGUUCGGAUUCAUUGGGCGUAAAGGGUGCGUAGGUGGCGAUGUAAGUCGGAUGUGAAAUCUCCAAGCUUAACUUGGAAACUGCAUUCGAUACUGCGUUGCUCGAGGACUGUAGAGGGCAUUGGAAUUCACGGUGUAGCAGUGAAAUGCGUAGAUAUCGUGAGGAAGACCAGUGGCGAAGGCGAAUGCCUGGGCAGUUCCUGACACUGAGGCACGAAGGCCAGGGGAGCAAACGGGAUUAGAUACCCUUGUAGUC
This 463-nucleotide ribosomal RNA is filed under the name uncultured bacterium. RNAcentral describes it as "partial 16S ribosomal RNA". It matches the Rfam family "Bacterial small subunit ribosomal RNA", at positions 339 to 795 of the family's 1533-position model. The record is from RNAcentral.